CUUAAUUAAAUUAUCCAACAGUUGUUUAUUGAUUGUGCUUGUCUUUCUGUUUCAGAUCUCACAUUCUUGAAGGUGGCAUUGAAGAGCACUAAGAUCGGAAGAUGAGUGAGCUUGACCAGUUACGGCAGGAGGCCGAGCAACUUAAGAACCAGAUUCGAGUAUGUAGUUGUGUGUGCUUGGUUUUAUUAAUCAUUUGAGUUUCAGGUUAGAUGUUACUCGUUUUAGGAAAAAUGGUUUACAGGAUGACUUGUUCUAUGUUUUAUAUUGAAAUUGAAUCUUAGUUGGCCCAGGAUGUACUAAUUAUAGAUCUAGAUACUUAGCCUAGUACAUUGUUUUCGGGAUUUUGCUUUCUGUAUACAAUUUGUUAUUUGAAUAUACACCAGAUGUCUCUGUAGAAUUUAUAAGUGUCUUUUGCAUUCUUUAUCAUAACCUUGAAAAUUUGUGAUACCCUGGGCCACUGAUCAGACUGUGAUAUAUCUACCUCCCUCCCCUGAAUAUUGGGACUAUUGACAGCAGAAAACUUGCUUAAAAGUAAGAGUAUUAACAACAAUAAAAAAAGUAUUUCAGAUA
RNAcentral lists this small RNA (570 nucleotides) under Pongo abelii (Sumatran orangutan). RNAcentral's name for it is "retained intron". The record is from RNAcentral. Lineage: Eukaryota; Metazoa; Chordata; Mammalia; Primates; Hominidae.